This 537-nucleotide ribosomal RNA is filed under the name uncultured bacterium. RNAcentral describes it as "partial 16S ribosomal RNA". It matches the Rfam family "Bacterial small subunit ribosomal RNA", at positions 28 to 523 of the family's 1533-position model. The record is from RNAcentral.
GACGAACGCUGGCGGCGUGCCUAAUACAUGCAAGUCGAACGAACUCUGGUUUUUGAUUGACGGUGCUUGCACCUGAUUGAUUAAACAUUUGAGUGAGUGGCGAACUGGUGAGUAACACGUAGGAAACCUGCCCAGAAGCGGGGGAUAACACCUGGAAACAGAUGCUAAUACCGCAUAACAACUUGAACCGCAUGGUUCGAGUUUGAAAGAUGGCUCUGCUAUCACUUCUGGAUGGUCCUGCGGCGUAUUAGCUAGAUGGUGAGGUAACGGCUCACCAUGGCAAUGAUACGUAGCCGACCUGAGAGGGUAAUCGGCCACAUUGGGACUGAGACACGGCCCAAACUCCUACGGGAGGCAGCAGUAGGGAAUCUUCCACAAUGGACGAAAGUCUGAUGGAGCAACGCCGCGUGAGUGAAGAAGGGUUUCGGCUCGUAAAACUCUGUUGUUAGAGAAGAACAUAUCUGAGAGUAACUGUUCAGGUAUUGACGGUAUCUAACCAGAAAGCCACGGCUAACUACGUGCCAGCAGCCGCCGCGG